GCCCCACGCAGCGAUCGAACCCCUCAAGCGGGUGUCGCAGGUUCGAAUCCUGCCGGGGGCA
RNAcentral lists this transfer RNA (61 nucleotides) under Streptomyces mirabilis. RNAcentral's name for it is "tRNA-Leu". RNAcentral also lists the same sequence under 1 other name. Lineage: Bacteria; Bacillati; Actinomycetota; Actinomycetes; Kitasatosporales; Streptomycetaceae. The record is from RNAcentral.